AKCGCGGCUANCAUGCAAGUCGAACGGAAAGGCCCUGCUUUUGUGGGGUGCUCGAGUGGCGAACGGUUUUAGUAACACGUGAGUAACCUGCCCUUGACUUUGGGAUAACUUCAGGAAACAGGGGCUAAUACCGGAUAGGAGCUCCUGCUGCAUGGUGGGGGUUGGAAAGUUUCGGCGGUUGGGGAUGGACUCGCGGCUUAUCAGCUUGUUGGUGGGGUAGUGGCUUACCAAGGCUUUGACGGGUAGCCGGCCUGAGAGGGUGACCGGCCACAUUGGGACUGAGAUACGGCCCAGACUCCUACGGGAGGCAGCAGUGGGGAAUAUUGCACAAUGGGCGGAAGCCUGAUGCAGCAACGCCGCGUGCGGGAUGACGGCCUUCGGGUUGUAAACCGCUUUCGCCUGUGACGAAGCGUGAGUGACGGUAAUGGGUAAAGAAGCACCGGCUAACUACGUGCCAGCAGCCGCGGUGAUACGUAGGGUGCGAGCGUUGUCCGGAUUUAUUGGGCGUAAAGGGCUCGUAGGUGGUUGAUCGCGUCGGAAGUGUAAUCUUGGGGCUUAACCCUGAGCGUGCUUUCGAUACGGGUUGACUUGAGGAAGGUAGGGGAGAAUGGAAUUCCUGGUGGAGCGGUGGAAUGCGCAGAUAUCAGGAGGAACACCAGUGGCGAAGGCGGUUCUCUGGGCCUUUCCUGACGCUGAGGAGCGAAAGCGUGGGGAGCGAACAGGCUUAGAUACCCUGGUAGUCCACGCUGUAAACGGUGGGUACUAGGUGUGGGGGUCCAUUCCACGGGUUCCGUGCCGUANCUAACGCC
RNAcentral lists this ribosomal RNA (809 nucleotides) under uncultured bacterium. Its description in RNAcentral is "bacterial SSU rRNA". It matches the Rfam family "Bacterial small subunit ribosomal RNA", at positions 41 to 859 of the family's 1533-position model. The record is from RNAcentral.